Molecule: long non-coding RNA, 2474 nt
Organism: Mugil cephalus (flathead mullet)
Lineage: Eukaryota; Metazoa; Chordata; Actinopteri; Mugiliformes; Mugilidae
Exons: 3
Source: RefSeq, a predicted model, not a curated record
GUUCAAACGAGGGCGAGGGGGCGCACGCGCGCUCUGAAGAUGGUAGUCACAGCCGGUUACAGCGGUAAGCUAGCUACCUAGCUACAGGAGCUAGCACUAUAACUAAACACUACAAAUACAAACACAUCUGAACGAGUUCGAAACGAGUUUUUAUUUCAAGAAGUGAUGAAUCGGGAAAGAAGAUAAUUGAAGUUGCCGUCAGAGGAAAACGCGGACGUCGCCUCCAGGUGGCGCUGCUCAGAAACUAAACCCACCGACUGUGAUGUGGAUCUGUCAGCAACAAACGAAGCUUUCUGACAACAACAACAACAACAGACAAGCGCAGGCAGAGAGAUGCGCACUCGAUGUUGGGGAUGACUGCAGAUGAGUCAGAAGGGGAGAGGAGGGAAUCCUUGGCUCUUUGUGUGCCAGAUCUAUAGGAGAAUGUGCGAGGCUUCGAGGAUGAGGGAGAGAUGGAAGGCUGCUGCGCCUAAAACGUCAACCUGUGUCGACCUCAGAGGCUGAAUGUUGUUCAGUUUAGCACCUGUCUCGUGGUGCUGAACUGGCAAAGCCGGCACAAACAAAGCGUUGGCUCCUCCUGAUGCGGCGGAUGCCAGGUAUCGAUCAAAAGGACCGAACCGCUUUGCGAAUGCAAAUUGCCGGGGAUCGGCAAGUUGUCACUGUUUGCAGAAAAAAAACAAACAGACAACAACAAAAGAAAAAGCACACGGAGAUGGAGGUGAAAAAUAUUCACAUGCUAAAAUUAGGGUGUCAUAUACCGGAUGAUUUUGGAUUGUGGCUCAAAGCUUCAAUUUACAGCUUUCUAAAUGCAGUAGGUUUUCCCUUAAGGAGGGAAACACACACACCGCAGCUACCCACAGGCUGAAAAGAACACAAUGUCUCCGUAUCAGUUUCCCAAACUGAAAAAAGAAAACUUUUAAACAUCACCCUCUGGUGGCGCUUCGGUGCACGACACUUUCCUCGAACCCUGAUAAAAGCGGGAUUUAUUUACCUGAUUGUGGUUUAUUAUUGUAAGCGCCAGGUGUUGAAUUGAAUGGAAAAUCGCAUCGAAGGGAGAGACGGUGCAUGCGAAAGUAGCUGCAUGAAGCUGUGCAGCGGGUGACAUGCGCCGUGGGCGUCGGGUUUUAUAGGGUGGCAUGACGCCGAGGGACAGUGAGUCAGAGUCAAUGAUAAGGACCGAGAGCGCUGACUGACCUCCCUCAACCGCCCCUUUCUCUUUGCAUCUCGUCGUUCGCACGUGGGUCCCCCCCCCCCCGUCUGUCUGCCUGCCUGCCUGCCUGUCUGUCUCUCAGCCUUUGUUCAAAGACGGUGACUCAUAACUUACCCUUUCCUUCCCUUUCUUUUUGUACCACCGACUUUUGACUUUUGCUUCAGUCACUUUUAUUCCGUCAGACACUUUUUCUAUCUCGCGAGCCUCCCGCCGCGAUCGGGGAGUGGAGCCUUCAGGUCUAUUUGCGAUUGGAAAAGCUCUCUCUGACUCACUCCCUCACACACACACACACACAAACACACACUUUAUAGGUGAUGACUCAUUGCGACACAGGCCAUUCAGACCCACGGUACACCAAACUGGUACGUGAGUGAGCGUUAGCGUGACUGUGUUUGCAUACACAUUAACCUUUAUGUGCAUUAGGGUGCUGUUGCGCAGGGGGCCCGUGACACACCACUUACACGGCUUUUAUCUACCGAGCGCCUGAGAUAAUAAGUGUUGCAGUAAAGCAGGUUCUGGAAGCCACCGAGCUUUGUUAUCCGAUCUAAAAAACAAAAAAAUAGUUCCUCUUUGUAAGUGCAUGUUGUGUCUUUGUUGAACGGUUGAUGAAACACGCGUAAAAUGCGUUGUGUGUUUACGCGCGUGAGGCCAGAGGCAGAGAAGAAUUCGCCGUGACAUGGGCAGCUGAGGAAUGAUAAAUAUGUUGAGUGACUCAUGCAGGACAGGCAUCACAGGAGCCGUCAGCUUUCACCGUGACAGACAACACAUAAUGUAACACAUUCGCACAUAAUGCGCUCCACCUAUACGGGGUAGCGUCUCGCGCCCGAACCUAUAUCUCCAGACACUCACAGGCAGCGCGCUGCGGAGUGUCCCCGACUUCUGUUGUACCAAUUUUUUUUUUCUUUUCUUUCUUUUUUUUUUGUAUGUCUGCGGAAGAGAUGAGUCACUUUGCUGCGCUCGUCACGUAACUACUGUCACUUAGACUGAUUCACACAUUUCUAAAAUAACAAUCAACCCCUCUGCCUGCGUUUUUAUGCAGAGCGACUGAGGGUACACCGUGUACUUUUUAUAGAAAAAUAUUCCUCACAACAACACGAAGCACGAAAACCGACUCCUAUUCACAUUUUAUUGGUUGUUUUUAUUAAUAAACACCAUAGGAGUAGCGUUUUGACUUGUGUGUGCUAUAUAAAAAAAUAAGACAUUAGUUGGCUGGAAUACAAAUUGUAGUAAGUAAACAGAUUUCAUAGGAGAAAAAAAAAUAAGA